GACGAACGCAGGCGGCGUGCCUAAUACAUGCAAGUAGAACGCUGAAGGAGGAGCUUGCUUCUCAGGAUGAGUUGCGAACGGGUGAGUAACGCGUAGGUAACCUGCCUGGUAGCGGGGGAUAACUAUUGGAAACGAUAGCUAAUACCGCAUAAGAGUAGAUGUUGCAUGACAUUUACUUAAAAGGUGCAAUUGCAUCACUACCAGAUGGACCUGCGUUGUAUUAGCUAGUUGGUGGGGUAACGGCUCACCAAGGCGACGAUACAUAGCCGACCUGAGAGGGUGAUCGGCCACACUGGGACUGAGACACGGCCCAGACUCCUACGGGAGGCAGCAGUAGGGAAUCUUCGGCAAUGGACGGAAGUCUGACCGAGCAACGCCGCGUGAGUGAAGAAGGUUUUCGGAUCGUAAAGCUCUGUUGUAAGAGAAGAACGAGUGUGAGAGUAGAAAGUUCACACUGUGACGGUAUCUUACCAGAAAGGGACGGCUAACUACGUGCCAGCAGCCGCGGUAAUACGUAGGUCCCGAGCGUUGUCCGGAUUUAUUGGGCGUAAAGCGAGCGCAGGCGGUUAGAUAAGUCUGAAGUUAAAGGCUGUGGCUUAACCAUAGUACGCUUUGGAAACUGUUUAACUUGAGUGCAAGAGGGGAGAGUGGAAUUCCAUGUGUAGCGGUGAAAUGCGUAGAUAUAUGGAGGAACACCGGUGGCGAAAGCGGCUCUCUGGCUUGUAACUGACGCUGAGGCUCGAAAGCGUGGGGAGCAAACAGG
This 763-nucleotide ribosomal RNA is filed under the name uncultured Streptococcus sp. Its description in RNAcentral is "bacterial SSU rRNA". It matches the Rfam family "Bacterial small subunit ribosomal RNA", at positions 28 to 776 of the family's 1533-position model. The record is from RNAcentral. Lineage: Bacteria; Bacillati; Bacillota; Bacilli; Lactobacillales; Streptococcaceae.